UACGAAGGGGGCUAGCGUUGUUCGGAAUUACUGGGCGUAAAGCGCACGUAGGCGGAUCGAUCAGUCAGGGGUGAAAUCCCAGGGCUCAACCCUGGAACUGCCUUUGAUACUGUCGAUCUGGAGUAUGGAAGAGGUGAGUGGAAUUCCGAGUGUAGAGGUGAAAUUCGUAGAUAUUCGGAGGAACACCAGUGGCGAAGGCGGCUCACUGGCCCAUUACUGACGCUGAGGUGCGAAAGCGUGGGGAGCAAACAGG
RNAcentral lists this ribosomal RNA (253 nucleotides) under uncultured bacterium. Its description in RNAcentral is "partial 16S ribosomal RNA". It matches the Rfam family "Bacterial small subunit ribosomal RNA", at positions 524 to 776 of the family's 1533-position model. The record is from RNAcentral.